AGCGAACGCUGGCGGCAGGCCUAACACAUGCAAGUCGAACGAACCUUUCGGGGUUAGUGGCGGACGGGUGAGUAACACGUGGGAACGUGCCUUUAGGUUCGGAAUAACUCAGGGAAACUUGUGCUAAUACCGAAUGUGCCCUUCGGGGGAAAGAUUUAUCGCCUUUAGAGCGGCCCGCGUCUGAUUAGCUAGUUGGUUGGGGUAAUGGCUCACCAAGGCGACGAUCAGUAGCUGGUCUGAGAGGAUGAUCAGCCACAUUGGGACUGAGACACGGCCCAAACUCCUACGGGAGGCAGCAGUGGGGAAUCUUGCGCAAUGGGCGAAAGCCUGACGCAGCCAUGCCGCGUGAAUGAUGAAGGUCUUAGGAUUGUAAAAUUCUUUCACCGGGGACGAUAAUGACGGUACCCGGUGAAGAAGCCCCGGCUAACUUCGUG
This 434-nucleotide ribosomal RNA is filed under the name uncultured bacterium. Its description in RNAcentral is "partial 16S ribosomal RNA". It matches the Rfam family "Bacterial small subunit ribosomal RNA", at positions 29 to 507 of the family's 1533-position model. The record is from RNAcentral.